RNAcentral lists this ribosomal RNA (254 nucleotides) under uncultured prokaryote. RNAcentral describes it as "partial 16S ribosomal RNA". It matches the Rfam family "Bacterial small subunit ribosomal RNA", at positions 524 to 777 of the family's 1533-position model. The record is from RNAcentral.
UACGGAGGAUGCGAGCGUUAUCCGGAUUUAUUGGGUUUAAAGGGUGCGUAGGCGGCUUUUUAAGUCAGCGGUGAAAUUUUGCAGCUUAACUGUAACAGUGCCGUUGAUACUGUGGAGCUAGGAUUUGGUUGCUGUGGGUGGAAUGUGUGGUGUAGCGGUGAAAUGCUUAGAGAUCACACAGAAUAUCGAUUGCGAAGGCAGCUCACAAAGCCAAGAUUGACGCUGAGGCACGAAAGUGUGGGGAUCAAACAGGA